Molecule: ribosomal RNA, 577 nt
Filed under: Streptomyces rutgersensis
Lineage: Bacteria; Bacillati; Actinomycetota; Actinomycetes; Kitasatosporales; Streptomycetaceae
Description: bacterial SSU rRNA
Rfam family: Bacterial small subunit ribosomal RNA
Source: RNAcentral
UGGUGAGGUAACGGCUCACCAAGGCGACGACGGGUAGCCGGCCUGAGAGGGCGACCGGCCACACUGGGACUGAGACACGGCCCAGACUCCUACGGGAGGCAGCAGUGGGGAAUAUUGCACAAUGGGCGAAAGCCUGAUGCAGCGACGCCGCGUGAGGGAUGACGGCCUUCGGGUUGUAAACCUCUUUCAGCAGGGAAGAAGCGAAAGUGACGGUACCUGCAGAAGAAGCGCCGGCUAACUACGUGCCAGCAGCCGCGGUAAUACGUAGGGCGCAAGCGUUGUCCGGAAUUAUUGGGCGUAAAGAGCUCGUAGGCGGCUUGUCACGUCGGUUGUGAAAGCCCGGGGCUUAACCCCGGGUCUGCAGUCGAUACGGGCAGGCUAGAGUUCGGUAGGGGAGAUCGGAAUUCCUGGUGUAGCGGUGAAAUGCGCAGAUAUCAGGAGGAACACCGGUGGCGAAGGCGGAUCUCUGGGCCGAUACUGACGCUGAGGAGCGAAAGCGUGGGGAGCGAACAGGAUUAGAUACCCUGGUAGUCCACGCCGUAAACGGUGGGCACUAGGUGUGGGCAACAUCCACGUG